Molecule: long non-coding RNA, 280 nt
Organism: Cyanistes caeruleus (blue tit)
Lineage: Eukaryota; Metazoa; Chordata; Aves; Passeriformes; Paridae
Source: RefSeq, a predicted model, not a curated record
AAAAACUGCAAACUGAUGGCAGCCUUGGAACAAGCACUUGAGGAGUUUUAGGGUUGUUGAGGUUUUUUUAACUAUCUGCAGGAGAAGACAGAGCACCAAGAUGAGCAGCCAGUUUUCUGCAGAGCUCGUGUGCAGUGUCACACGAAUGCCAGACACUUUAUCCGAGAGCUAAACUCAAGCAGCUGCUUCCAGUUUGGGCUGUGUCCAUACACCUGAAGUGAGGAACAGUAAGGUCUCUCCUUUCUGCACCCCUUAAAGCAAUAAUGCGACAUCUAACAGC